UACGGAGGGUGCAAGCGUUAUCCGGAUUCACUGGGUUUAAAGGGUGCGUAGGUGGGCAGGUAAGUCAGUGGUGAAAUCUCCGGGCUUAACCCGGAAACUGCCAUUGAUACUAUCAGUCUUGAAUACCGUGGAGGUAAGCGGAAUAUGUCAUGUAGCGGUGAAAUGCUUAGAUAUGACAUAGAGCACCAAUUGCGAAGGCAGCUUACUACCCGAAUAUUGACACUGAGGCACGAAAGCGUGGGGAUCAAACAGG
Molecule: ribosomal RNA, 253 nt
Filed under: uncultured bacterium
Lineage: Bacteria
Description: partial 16S ribosomal RNA
Rfam family: Bacterial small subunit ribosomal RNA
Source: RNAcentral